This 1281-nucleotide ribosomal RNA is filed under the name Nocardioides sp. KSC_UV5c. RNAcentral describes it as "bacterial SSU rRNA". It matches the Rfam family "Bacterial small subunit ribosomal RNA", at positions 60 to 1356 of the family's 1533-position model. The record is from RNAcentral. Lineage: Bacteria; Bacillati; Actinomycetota; Actinomycetes; Propionibacteriales; Nocardioidaceae.
AGUCGAGCGGAAAGGCCCUUCGGGGUACUCGAGCGGCGAACGGGUGAGUAACACGUGAGUAAUCUGCCCCGCGCUUUGGGAUAGCCAGCCGAAAGGCUGAUUAAUACCGAAUACGACACUCUCCGGCAUCGGGUGGGUGUGGAAAGUUUUUUCGGCGUGGGAUGUGCUCGCGGCCUAUCAGCUUGUUGGUGGGGUAAUGGCCUACCAAGGCUUCGACGGGUAGCCGGCCUGAGAGGGUGACCGGCCACACUGGGACUGAGACACGGCCCAGACUCCUACGGGAGGCAGCAGUGGGGAAUAUUGGACAAUGGGCGGAAGCCUGAUCCAGCAACGCCGCGUGAGGGAUGACGGCCUUUCGGGUUGUAAACCUCUUUCAGCACAGACGAAGCGCAAGUGACGGUAUGUGCAGAAGAAGGACCGGCCAACUACGUGCCAGCAGCCGCGGUAAUACGUAGGGUCCGAGCGUUGUCCGGAAUUAUUGGGCGUAAAGGGCUCGUAGGCGGUUUGUCGCGUCGGGAGUGAAAACCUACAGCUUAACUGUGGGCUUGCUUUCGAUACGGGCAGACUUGAGGCAUGCAGGGGAGAACGGAAUUCCUGGUGUAGCGGUGAAAUGCGCAGAUAUCAGGAGGAACACCGGUGGCGAAGGCGGUUCUCUGGGCAUGUUCUGACGCUGAGGAGCGAAAGUGUGGGGAGCGAACAGGAUUAGAUACCCUGGUAGUCCACACCGUAAACGUUGGGCGCUAGGUGUGGGAUCCAUUCCACGGGUUCCGUGCCGCAGCUAACGCAUUAAGCGCCCCGCCUGGGGAGUACGGCCGCAAGGCUAAAACUCAAAGGAAUUGACGGGGGCCCCGCACAAGCGGCGGAGCAUGCGGAUUAAUUCGAUGCAACGCGAAGAACCUUACCUGGGUUUGACAUACACCGGAAAGCUGCAGAGAUGUAGCCCCUUUUAGUCGGUGUACAGGUGGUGCAUGGCUGUCGUCAGCUCGUGUCGUGAGAUGUUGGGUUAAGUCCCGCAACGAGCGCAACCCUCGUCCUAUGUUGCCAGCACGUCAUGGUGGGGACUCAUAGGAGACUGCCGGGGUCAACUCGGAGGAAGGUGGGGAUGACGUCAAGUCAUCAUGCCCCUUAUGUCCAGGGCUUCACGCAUGCUACAAUGGCCGGUACAAAGGGCUGCGAUCCCGUGAGGGGGAGCGAAUCCCAAAAAGCCGGUCUCAGUUCGGAUUGGGGUCUGCAACUCGACCCCAUGAAGUCGGAGUCGCUAGUAAUCGCAGAUCAGCAACG